Small nucleolar RNA from Oncorhynchus gorbuscha (pink salmon), 70 nucleotides. RefSeq annotates it as small nucleolar RNA SNORD50. Lineage: Eukaryota; Metazoa; Chordata; Actinopteri; Salmoniformes; Salmonidae. The record is from RefSeq and is a predicted model, not a curated record. The transcript has a single exon.
CUACUGUGAUGAACACUUAUCCUGAAGCUGAUCAUUUUGAUGAGACACUUUCGGAUCUGACUGCUGAGUU